GCUUUGGAAGACACUCUGAAGUAAAGGUGAGAAGUUCUUUGUUCAAAAUGUUAACAACAGCUGUGGCCCUAGACAAGCAAAUGAAGCAUAGUUAUUUUUUAAAGAACACAAUUUAAAUGUUCAAACUGCACCUUUCCCUUGAAUUAUGUUGCUCACAAAGAAAAAAAAAUUUGAAAGGAUUGAUAAAACACCAUCAAAACAAAAUCGAG
Molecule: long non-coding RNA, 209 nt
Filed under: Canis lupus dingo (dingo)
Lineage: Eukaryota; Metazoa; Chordata; Mammalia; Carnivora; Canidae
Description: Highly up-regulated in liver cancer conserved region (ENSCAFG00020013182.1)
Rfam family: Highly up-regulated in liver cancer conserved region
Source: RNAcentral